Molecule: small nuclear RNA, 124 nt
Organism: Vulpes vulpes (red fox)
Lineage: Eukaryota; Metazoa; Chordata; Mammalia; Carnivora; Canidae
Gene: U4
Rfam family: U4 spliceosomal RNA
About the family: U4 small nuclear RNA (U4 snRNA) is a component of the major U2-dependent spliceosome. The structure of U4 snRNA from yeast and human has been reported. U4 snRNA presents a k-turn RNA motif in the 5p-SL related to recognition of Snu13 protein.
Source: Ensembl
AGCUCUGAGCAUUGGCAGAACUGUAGCCAAUGAGGUAUAUCUGAGGCACAAUUGUUGCUAAUUGAAAUUCUGGUUGAAGACUAGAGCUAAAUAUAAAUAGUAAACUAAUAAACAUUUCUAGAAA